GAUGAACGCUGGCGGCGUGCCUAAUACAUGCAAGUCGAGCGAACAGACGAGGAGCUUGCUCCUCUGACGUUAGCGGCGGACGGGUGAGUAACACGUGGAUAACCUACCUAUAAGACUGGGAUAACUUCGGGAAACCGGAGCUAAUACCGGAUAAUAUAUUGAACCGCAUGGUUCAAUAGUGAAAGACGGUUUUGCUGUCACUUAUAGAUGGAUCCGCGCCGCAUUAGCUAGUUGGUAAGGUAACGGCUUACCAAGGCAACGAUGCGUAGCCGACCUGAGAGGGUGAUCGGCCACACUGGAACUGAGACACGGUCCAGACUCCUACGGGAGGCAGCAGUAGGGAAUCUUCCGCAAUGGGCGAAAGCCUGACGGAGCAACGCCGCGUGAGUGAUGAAGGUCUUCGGAUCGUAAAACUCUGUUAUUAGGGAGGAACAAAUGUGUAAGUAACUAUGCACGUCUUGACGGUACCUAAUCAGAAAGCCACGGCUAGCUACGUG
Molecule: ribosomal RNA, 497 nt
Filed under: uncultured bacterium
Lineage: Bacteria
Description: partial 16S ribosomal RNA
Rfam family: Bacterial small subunit ribosomal RNA
Source: RNAcentral